AUGCGACAGCGCAAAUGGCCGGGGAACCCGGUGUGUUCUUUCUGUCAACAGGUUGAAACCUCCCAGCAUCUUUUCUUUGAAUGCCCAGUUGCCAGGGUAGUGUGGCGAUCCAUUGGAGUAACCCUUGGGACUGAUCUUUGUCCUAGAAACCAAUGGCAAUUCUUUACAUGGUGCUAUUCUUUCAUACCUGAUUAUGAGACCUUCUAUACUGUGGCCUUGGGUGCAGUUACCUGGUCUAUUUGGUUGGCACGCAACAGUGCUACUUUUGAGAAAAAAAUGAUCAAUACCCCUUUUGAGAUUGUCUUUACGGUGGUCUCUUUCCUAUUAUAUUGGGCAGGUCUGCAAGACAUGGGCGACGCCAAGCUACUUCGUACGGGAGCGGAGAUGAUUCGCAAUGGGACUCUGAUGCUGAUGAGGACCUGUGAUGCGGCGGUCAAGAUUGGUGGCUCCAGCUGA
Molecule: ribosomal RNA, 456 nt
Filed under: Triticum aestivum (bread wheat)
Lineage: Eukaryota; Viridiplantae; Streptophyta; Magnoliopsida; Poales; Poaceae
Description: partial small subunit ribosomal RNA
Source: RNAcentral